UGAGGAAUAUUGCGCAAUGGGGGCAACCCUGACGCAGCGACGCCGCGUGAGUGAGGAAGGCCUUCGGGUCGUAAAGCUCUGUCAAAGGGAAAGAAAUGUAUAAUGGCUAAUACCUGUUAUAUUUGACGGUACCCUUAAAGGAAGCACCGGCUAACUCCGUGCCAGCAGCCGCGGUAAUACGGAGGGUGCAAGCGUUGUUCGGAAUUACUGGGCGUAAAGGGCGCGUAGGCGGUUUGAUAAGUCAGAUGUGAAAGCCCACGGCUUAACUGUGGAAGUGCAUUUGAUACUGUCAGACUUGAGUACCAGAGGGGAAAGUGGAAUUCCCGGUGUAGAGGUGAAAUUCGUAGAUAUCGGGAGGAAUACCGGUGGCGAGGGCGACUUUCUGGCUGGAUACUGACGCUGAGGCGCGAGAGCGUGGGGCGCAAACA
Molecule: ribosomal RNA, 428 nt
Filed under: uncultured prokaryote
Description: bacterial SSU rRNA
Rfam family: Bacterial small subunit ribosomal RNA
Source: RNAcentral